GGAGCACCUGACCAUGGAACAAUAGGAGACCAUAAGUCCAGAACUUGCCAUCAUGGUCUAAGUCUGUCAUCAUAUCCUUAGGUCAGAUUGGCCCAGCAGCAGCCUGACAUAAAAUGAGUGGGAUGAGAUGAACGACAUUUGGCCCAGAGGGCACAAGCAAGCUGCAUGAGCAGAUAAUUUAGAUCCUCAUGACUUCCCUUACAGGAGCCUGUAUGACCAGCAGAGGGAGGAAAAGGCCCAAGCUUGGUUUACAAAUGGGUCAGUGUUAUGGGCUGAAUAUUCAUGUUCCCCCAAAAAUCAUAUGUGAUAGAAUUCGGAGGAGGGGCCACUGGCAGGUGAUUCGAUUUAGGAGAGGUCGCGGGGUGGGGGGGGAGCCCCAUGAUGGGACUAGUACCCUUGAAAGAAGAAGAGGCUAAAACCUCUUCUCUCUGCCAUGUGAGGACAGGGAGAGAAGGCAAAUAUCCACAAGCAAGGAAGGUGUUCACCAGGAACUGAGUCUGCCAGCACCUGGAUCUUGGACUUCCAGCCUCCAAAACAGGGAGAAACAAAUGGCUGUUUUUUAAGCCACCCAGUCUAUGGCAUUGUGUUAUAGGAGCGGAGCAGACUGACAUAGCCAUCUUGGCAUGUGAAUCUAAACUGAGAAUGGAUGGCCAUGGCAGCUGCUCUGGAGCCUCCCUCAGGGGAAGCUUUGAAAGAAAAAAGGUGAAAAAAAUGCUUCCAAGAGUUUUCUCUUUAGCAGCCUAACUCCCCCCUCAGCCCAGCCUUGCUUCCCUUCCGUCUUUCUGUGGUGAGCGACACAGGAGCCUGUUCAAGGAGGAUGGGCUAUAGAGCGUGAGAGGGGCAGUCAGCUUACAGUCUCCAGCUCCUUCCAGGUCUGUUGUAGAAGUCGGAAGUCACUCCCCUCUCAGUGCAGCCUGCAUCCUGUGGCUGAGCAACAAGGUCACAGAGGCCCAGCCAUUUUGACCCCAUUCAAGGCACAUCUGAGGGACAAUACUGUUUCUUUCUGCCCAGUCCCGCCCCUCCCUUUCCUUUCACAGGUGUUGACCCCUAACAAAUAUCAUGUAACCUAAACUCUGUUUUAGCGCCUGCCUCCAGAGAACACAAACUGCAACAAAGAGGGAAAAUAUGUGAAUUGAAGUCACCCCAAAUCACAACCCCCAUUGUAAAUAGUGUGUCUCAGAGACGUGAUAGCUCUGUCAUAAGUAUAUGAAAUCAGCCAAAUAAACUGUAAACUGUUAAGUCACCCUUCUGUUUAUUCAAUGACAGUGUCAAAAUCUCAACUUUUUCAUCAGCAUAAAAUAUAAAAGCUUGCCAGUUCCAAAUCUAAGUGAUUUGUAGCCCCCAAACAUUUUAAGAAGGCUGCAUUGAUGCCAUUCAGACAUACUGACAUCCAAUAUUAUCUGUAUACCUCCAGGCUUCUUACCCUAGGUAUUAGUUACCUGUUAGUAUCAAAUUACUACAAACGUUGCAGCUUAAAAAAACACCCAUUUAUGAUCCCACAGUUUCUAUGUGUCAAGAUUCUGGACAUGGCAUAGUUGGAUCUUCUUUCUUAGGGUUUCCCACAGGCUGCAAACGAGAUGUUGUCCAGGGCUGGGGUCUCAUCUGAAGGCUCGCCUGAAGAAGCUCACUCAGUGGUUGUCAGUGAGAUUCAGUUCCCCAUGGGCUAUUGGACUGAGAUCUUCUGUUCUCUACUGGCUGUUGGCUGGAGGCCAACCUCAGUUCCUCACCCAAAGGGCCUUUCCAACAUGGUAACUGACUUCAUCAAAAUGAGCAAGCCAAGUAGGCAAUAGAGUCUGACAGCAAGACAAAGCCACAAUCUUUUUUAACCUAAUUAGGGAGUUGAUAUCUUCCUAAUGUUACUACAGUCUAACAGUAAGAAACAGGUUACUCUCUGGAAGAGGAUUACACCAGGCCAUGAAUACUAGGAGGCAGAACUCACAGGGCACCAUCCUGGAGGAUGUCCACCACGUCACACCAAUAUGAACAUGUUUAUAUUUGCAAAAGUGGGAUCAUAUCAUUUUACAAACUUCAACUUACUAAAAUGCAGUGUAACUUCUGUCUACAUAAAUGUCACCUAUUUCUGAUUGUUAAGGACUUCAUAGCAUUCCACCAAACAGCUGUCACGUGAUUUAUUCACAAAACCCUAUUUUCAGACAAUAGGUUGUUUUUGAUUUCUUCAUUUCUAUAAAUGAUGUUGCUAUGACCAUCCUUGUAACUAAACAUUUCCACACUUAUUUAUAUAUUUACCUAAGAAAAAAAUUUCUAGACAUGGGUGGAAUUGUUGGGUUGAAGACAUACUCUGUUUAAAUAUUUUAAUGUAUGUUUUUAACUGAAUUCUAUUUACUGGUCUUAGGUUCACAAAAGGCCUUCGUCCUCUCUGUAAAUCAUACUGCUGCUCCCAGGGCCAGCUGUGCAGAAGGAGUAAGACUCCUUCUGGUGGGUCUACACACUUCUAUUCUCACCAACCAUCAAGUUACCAUAUAGAACAGGUGUUCCAUAUAACAGGGCUUCUGUUCUAUCACUAAAUUGCCCUCCAGAGAAGUUUCCCCAAGUUACCCUCCUGUGAACAGAAUGUGAGACUGUCUCCAGGAGUUCGCAUGGUGGCUCAGCAGAAAAGAANGUAACCAUGAGGUUGCAGGUUCCAUCCCCAGCCUCGCCAGUGGGUUAAGGAUACAGCAUUGCUGUGAGCUGUGGUGUAGUUCGCAGAUGCGGCUCAGAUCCCGCAUUGCCGUGGUGGCUGUGGUGUAGGCCGGCAGCUGUAGCUCAGAUUCCCAGCUAGCCUGCGAACUUCCAUAUGCUUCAGGUGUGGCCCUAAAAAGCAAAAAAGUCAAACCAAACCAAACCAAAACAACACCAAAAAAGACUGUCGCCAUUUAUUUAAAAUCUAUUAAAUGAGAAGCUGCUCACCCAUCCUCAAUAAAGAACACUCAUUCUGAGUUCCUUUUCUAACAAUAAUAUGAGUUUCAUGGGGAUCCAGUUCUUUUUUUUUUUUUUUUUUAGGGCCGCACCCAAGGCAUAUGGAGGUUCCCAGGCUAGGGGUCUAAUCGGAGCUACAGCCGCCAGCCUACACCACAGCCACAGCAAUGCCAGACCCGAGCCACGUCUGCGACCUACACCACAACUCACGGCAGUGCCGGAUCCUCAAUCCACUGAGCGAGGCCAGGGAUGGAACCUGCAACCUCAUGGUUCCUAAUCGGAUUCGUUUCCGCUGCGCCACAAUGGGAACACCAGGAUCCAGUUCUUAGAUGCCCCUGGAGCCAGGCACAGAUCACAACAGAACUGGACUAGAUGUCAAACAACAAGGAGUGGUGGACGCUAUUGAGAGCUGAAAAGCCUUGGGCUCACUGAAGUGUUUAAACAUUUUUAAACACUUUAUCGGCCCAAGAAAAUAUUUCUGUGACUCAGAUUAAACUUGCGCUAUGAGUGUAUGUUCCAUGAUUUAUAUCUGAGAGACACUUGUUGAAAAAUAGUUAUUGCCUCUGAACAUGGGGUUGGGGGGGAGAAGCAUUCUCUAAGAAAAGCCAACUGCCUCAUACAGGUGACCCUAAAGUCUUCACUACAAACAAAUCAUAUAAAAUGGAAUAGCAGGAACCCCAAGAUGGACAAAGGGCACAAAAAUUAAUAAGCAUUCUCUCCUUGGGAAGAAAAAUUAGGUGUCAUAAAAAGCAUAAGUGAAUGAACAAAUGAUGACAGUUUCUCCAGGAGCCGUGUUGCCUUCCUCCUUACCUGCUGCAGAAGCAGAGUGCUCUCACUUUGAGAACCAGGAGUAAUGGGAGAUGCAUUUAUAAAUACACCCACACUUGCCAUGAAUCUCAGUAGCUUCACUCCACAUCCCUGCAGGACUGACUAUAAGAAUCCAUUAAGUUAAUGAGGGGUUGGGUGCAGCUGUAUCUGUGCAACAUGUGACAAGCCUCGCCCCAUAAUUGAAUCAGGGAUCUUUCAAAAAGACUCUGAGGGAAAAGCUCUGACUUCAGUUUCUCAAAAAUCAGAGCACUGGGCACAGGAUAGACACGUAAGGGGAAGAUGUUUUAUAGAGCCUUGUGGCAGGUGUGUGAGCUGUGAGGACUCAAAUGCUGUAUUAAUAUCACUCUCUUCCUCCUCCUUCAAGGAAGUGGAUUCGUUGUUUUAUAUCCCUUUCUUUGGAGAGGGGAAGGGACAUCAAGACAAAGGCUCUGAUUUUUGGUCUAAUUGUAUGUCAGGAUAUCUGGGAAAAGUAGGGACAUUUCAUAUUUUUAACUUUAUGAUGUAAACAGCUAGAAAUGCUCAUCUUACUGUGGUUGUUCCCAAAUAAGGGAUAAUAGAAGGUGUAGAUUUAUUAUUGAUUUUCACUGAUGGUGCAAGGUGUCAAUCUUUUAUAGAUUAUUUGAAGAACUGCUCAAUUGUUAAUUUCUUCACCAAAGUGAGAAGGGCAUUAAGAAAAGGACCCCUCUGCAGCGAUAACUUGGAUUAUCCAACCAGUUUUUGAUGGUCUAUGUCCAUAUCCCUUUGCUCUGUCUGCCUUGGAUACUGCUUUCCAGAGGCAAGACUAUGUCUAUUUUUCAUCUCGAUUCCAGUUACAUUGUGAUUGAAACUGGCUUCUAACACAGAUCAGUAAGCAAAAUGUAAGAUUCUUGUCCUUUUAGGCUAUUAUCAUCUCCCUGCCCUUUUCCUGUUCUCUCAAUUUCCCUUUUGAACCUCCCUGGUCCAGUAUUUACCUGGCACUGGCUCAACCCAGCAAUACCACUUCAUUUUGGGUGUCAUCCCCCGACCAUACACCCAUCUUGCACAGUGCCACCUGGUGGCUCCCCUCCACUAUUACAGCAUGACAACAAAAAGCAGCAGGGAAAAGCGUUAUCUAUCUAAUGAAUGGAAAUGAAAACAUCCAAGACUGACUGCAUAAAAGAAAUCAAAUGACUGAGAGAGAGGGGAAAAUGCCUCUUUUUUAUGGAACGGCCAUAAAUUCACAAGUUGUAUGAAUGCAGAGUAAGGAUUGAUUCUGAAGGGACUAGUUUACAAAUAUCAAAGUAUAUUAACUAUAUUCCCACCAACCUCUUCUUUGAAAAUACCUUUUAUAUUUGCAUUUUGUCAGUGCAUGAGGAUGACUUUUGAGUGGUUAACCACUCCCUAUGGAAGCACUUGCUUUACUGGCUUCUGAAAGCAAAACUGUCAAACAGUUUUCUAUUAUCUAGCAAAUUAUGAUGAAUCAUCAAUAUUAUUGAUACUUAAGAGUUUAUCCUUUCAAAUGGCUGCAGUGACCUUGGAACGAUAAUUCCUGCUUCAUACAAAACAUCUCCUUCUCACAGUGGUUAGCUGUGUACUGUCAUCCCAAUCUGGGCUGGUAUUUUGCCACAGGAAGGAAAAAAGAACAAAGUGGUAGUAAUUUUUUAGCAUUUAUCUUUUUUUCAGCUAUGCUCUGGAAAUAACAGAAAUGUUUAUGGGGUGUGAUUUUUAAAUUUCUCUACUUUUUAAAAUAGGUGCUGCCCCGUGAUGUCUGCUUCAACGUUAUUCGUGGUCAAUUCCACUCUAGAAACAGAGGAAAAGAAGUUCUUUUCCUGCCAGCUUCAUCUUUCCCAUUGAUUUCCUCACCGAACACAUGCCCCUAAUGGAGCUUGAAAUGAAUGCAGCUUUGCUUUUGUUUUCUGGCUUUGUUGGCACACCUCUGCCAGAGGCCAGCUGUGGUCUAAGCCUGAGGCACUCACCUUGCAGAAAGGGCCUCUGCCCCUCCCAGCUGCUGGCACACAGAAGGUGAAGAAGGGGAGGGGAAGAUUCUGUCCCCUUGGCUAGGCCUGGCACAAGAGAAGCGUGCCCUUUGAAAAAAGCUGAACUAUGGGUGGGGAGGUUUGUAAAACACCUAAGAGCCAGGAAGUUAGCAAUUCCAGGAGAUAGAAAAGGAGGAUCACAGGGCUGGGAAUGUUGGGGAGUCCUUACAAAAAGCCAGAGAAACUCACUUACACCUUAAAAACUACAAAAUAAGAAUAACAAAACGCAUCCCAAAUUACAAAACUCAGACCAAAUGGGGAUUACUCGCAGCAAGGAAAAGGGAUAAGGAAGGACAUUGUAAAGAAAGUCUUCUGGGAGUUCCUGUCGCGUGGCUCAGCAGUAACAAAUCCAACAAGUAUCCAUGAGGAUACAAUUUGGAUACCUGGCCUCACUCAGUGGGUUAAGGAUCCCAUGUUGGCCGGGAGCUGUGGUAUAGGUUGCAGAUGUGGCUCGGAUCCUGCACUGCUGCGGCUGUGGUGUAGGCUGGCGGCUGCAGCUCCAAUUGGACCCGCAGCCUGGAAACUGCCAUAUGCAGGAGUGGCCCUGAAAAUCAAAAAAAAAAAAAAGAAAAAA
RNAcentral lists this long non-coding RNA (6312 nucleotides) under Sus scrofa (pig). RNAcentral's name for it is "lncRNA (ENSSSCG00015007182.1)". Lineage: Eukaryota; Metazoa; Chordata; Mammalia; Artiodactyla; Suidae. The record is from RNAcentral.